Molecule: long non-coding RNA, 422 nt
Organism: Rhea pennata
Lineage: Eukaryota; Metazoa; Chordata; Aves; Rheiformes; Rheidae
Exons: 3
Source: RefSeq, a predicted model, not a curated record
UCUGUUAAUUAGGGAAUCUGUGAUGUAAGUUCACAGCAGGACUUCGAUGCUGAGUGGUAAAGCUGCCUGGUCCUGAGCAAGAGACUCACACUUCCAGUCCAACACAUGCAGACAUGCCAACUAUGAGAAGGCAGGUACAGAGGCCUGAACUAAAAACAGUGAAGUAACCCUACAGAGAAGCCAGAUGUUGGAGAAAUGAAACACUACAAGGUUAAAAAUGAGGGGGAUUUUUUCUUAAUUCUCUCAGAGCAAGAAGGCUGCCAAGCAGUUUCUAGAGGAAAGAAGAGAACCUAUAUUUUCGUAUCAGCUCAUAGCAGAUCAGUGUUGAAGGGAACUCCAGGUGGGACUUUCUGUUCUGAAAAAGGAUCAGGUAAACCUGGACGUCCCUCAUCCAGUUGUUUAAACCUUUUUUAAAAUCUUCC